AGGCCUCAAAUCAGGUAGGACUACCCGCUGAACUUAAGCAUAUCAAUAAGCGGAGGAAAAGAAACUAACAAGGAUUCCCCUAGUAACGGCGAGUGAAGCGGGAAGAGCUCAAAUUUGAAAUCUGGUGGACUUUGUUCAUCCGAGUUGUAAUCUAGAGAAGUGUUUUCCGUGCCGGCCAAUGUACAAGUCCCUUGGAACAGGGCGUCAUAGAGGGUGAGAAUCCCGUACUUGACAUUGAUCACCGGCGCUCUGUGAUACAUUUUCAAAGAGUCGAGUUGUUUGGGAAUGCAGCUCAAAAUGGGUGGUAAAUUCCAUCUAAAGCUAAA
This 326-nucleotide ribosomal RNA is filed under the name Zyzygomyces bachmannii. RNAcentral describes it as "partial large subunit ribosomal RNA". It matches the Rfam family "Eukaryotic large subunit ribosomal RNA", at positions 1 to 320 of the family's 3401-position model. The record is from RNAcentral. Lineage: Eukaryota; Fungi; Basidiomycota; Tremellomycetes; Filobasidiales; Filobasidiaceae.